Long non-coding RNA from Chinchilla lanigera (long-tailed chinchilla), 1940 nucleotides. RefSeq lists it as uncharacterized. The record is from RefSeq and is a predicted model, not a curated record. Lineage: Eukaryota; Metazoa; Chordata; Mammalia; Rodentia; Chinchillidae. The transcript is spliced from 3 exons.
CGUAGGAGCUGGAGCUGAAAUUUAGAAAUAACCAUUUCAUAGAUGGUAUCGAAAGCCAUGGCACUAGGUGAGAUCGCUAUAUGUGAACAUGAGUGCAAAUGAGAAAAGGCAAGCACUGAUACUCAGACUAAUACUCCAGAGCUCAGAGGAAGAGGGAGGAGUAAGAAUUCAUGGAGGACAGGUGGUUUCUUUGGAAAAUCUCUUGCCAACAGUUCCUGUAUGGAGGCAGAGAUGCAGUACUGAACAGAGAAAGGUGAAUGGUGCCGAGGCCCAACAGCAUCCCAGGCAGAUCAAGGAGCUCUGAGGCUGGGGUGGCGCUCCAGCGAUGCUUCAGACUGAGGCAAGAAGUUUGGGCAUUUGCACGCUGAACUGGAUCCAGGCUGAUUCUCUUGUUUCUGCCCUCUAGCUUAAUAAGUUGCUGUCAGAACGAGGAAGAGCCUGACCUCAGGCCUGGAUUGCAGGGCACACACGAAGCUGAAGAUCACUGAGUAGCCAAGGAGAUUUACAAUUAACUGUAAUUGCACCGUCUCCUUGGCUGAGCAGUUGGCCGUGGCUUCUAUAGGAUUUUGCAAAGCUGCUCUGUACCAGCUGAGCUCUGGGAAUCCACUCCUACAGUGACUUUUGUUUUUUUACCACUUUUUUGCUGAACAGCGUAAAAGCAGCCUACCUGGCUUUCGUGGGACAGCUGCAGCUCCAGGCAGAGAUCAUUUGCUGCCCUUCCAGCACCGAGUCUGACUACCGAGCCUGGGUGCUCCACGGCGUGCCCAGCAGGUGUUAGCCUUUCGAGGAAAUCGGAGUGGCGGGACCUUCCUUCUCACUCUUGGCUCCCGCAGCUUACGGGUUACCUGCAGCCAGUUCAGGAGUCUAUUUCCUAUCUUUGCUGGAACACCUCUUCCUGCUCUUGCUCCAGCCCAGUCCCUUCUCUUAUGCUUACAGAUUCUUUUUCUGUUUUACUACACACUCCCUUCUCUAGGCUUAUUCCUAUCAAUAUACAGAAAUCACCUAAGACAGGCCAUGCAAACUAAAAAAAGCCUAACCUUUCUCUCUCUCCUCAAGAUACCGCAGUGAUUUCCAUGCUACAUCACUAAAAUGGGUGAAAGUGAGUUCUCUCACAGCGCACCUCCUGCCAAAGCCAGGGUCAACCCUGAAUGUGAACUGUCUGAAACACUGGACAUGCUAGGCUACUUUUUCCACCCGGAUGCAUUUUUACCUUAGCUUUUCCAACACCGCACUCUCCUAUGUUUUCUUCCCACAUCCUGAUUUCCUUCAUCAGUUACUUCUCUGCGACACAGGUGCAUGUGGACAUGUUAGGAUCUAGCCUCAGCUUUCUAUAGUACCACACUUUCUCUCCCACGCUCCUCAUCUAGGCCCAUUGGAGCUUUUCACACACUGGACUCCCAAAUCAAGACACCAGUGAUGUUCUUUCCCUGAUUCCAGACUCACAGCUCAACUGUUGACUAAAUAUCUUCACUUGUUGUAUAAUUGCUGUCUCUUUUAAUUGGGAAUGCAGAUUUCAAAAUGUUACAAUCCUCUUCCAGACAAGCAACUCUAUAAAGUGGCGCGUCUCCCCAUUCUCCCAACCACUCGCCACCAUCUUGCUCAAGCAAAAGCCUGCCCAUCACUUUAGUUUUCCUCUUUGGAAACCACAAUGUGGUGAUCUUCGUCAGCUUCACCUCCUAAGUACACCUUGAAGCCGACUGUUUUUUUCUUUUCUUUCUUGACUGCUCUGAUUACGCUCGUCAGAGUCAAAUUUUACUCAUCUAUUCUGGAGCAGAGGCCAAACGUCCCUGUCAGUUCUUAACACACAAAUAUAUUUAGGCACGAAGAGAGGUGAACAGAGAUAUUUUUAAGGGAGCAGUGGUGUGAAAAAGUGGCUGAUUUCUUUAAGUAUAUUUCCUGCCUAACAUUUCCCAAUUAAACAUCAAUAUAUUUUAAAAUAG